CGCGUAGGUGGUGGCUUAAGCGUGUGGUGAAAGCCCGGGGCUCAACUCCGGGUCGGCCAUGCGAACUGGGUCACUGGAGCACUGUAGAGGCAGGUGGAAUUCCGGGUGUAGCGGUGGAAUGCGUAGAGAUCCGGAAGAACACCGGUGGCGAAGGCGGCCUGCUGGGCAGUUGCUGACACUGAGGCGCGACAGCGUGGGGAGCAAACAGGAUUAGAUACCCUGGUAGUCCACGCCGUAAACGAUGGGCACUAGGUGCUUCGGGGAGCGACCCUCGGAGUGCCGGCGCUAACGCAUUAAGUGCCCCGCCUGGGGAGUACGGCCGCAAGGCUGAA
Molecule: ribosomal RNA, 332 nt
Filed under: uncultured Gemmatimonadota bacterium
Lineage: Bacteria; Pseudomonadati; Gemmatimonadota
Description: bacterial SSU rRNA
Rfam family: Bacterial small subunit ribosomal RNA
Source: RNAcentral